Molecule: ribosomal RNA, 492 nt
Filed under: uncultured bacterium
Lineage: Bacteria
Description: partial 16S ribosomal RNA
Rfam family: Bacterial small subunit ribosomal RNA
Source: RNAcentral
AGUGAACGCUGGCGGUAGGCCUAACACAUGCAAGUCGAACGGCAGCACAGUAAGAGCUUGCUCUUACGGGUGGCGAGUGGCGGACGGGUGAGGAAUACAUCGGAAUCUACUUUUUCGUGGGGGAUAACGUAGGGAAACUUACGCUAAUACCGCAUACGACCUACGGGUGAAAGCAGGGGAUCUUCGGACCUUGCGCGGUUGAAUGAGCCGAUGUCGGAUUAGCUAGUUGGCGGGGUAAAGGCCCACCAAGGCGACGGUCCGUAGCUGGGCUGAGAGGAUGGUCAGCCACACUGGAACUGAGCCACGGUCCAGACUCCUACGGGAGGCAGCAGUGGGGAAUAUUGGACAAAGGGCGCAAGCCUGAUCCAGCCAUACCGCGUGGGUGAAGAAGGCCUUCGGGUUGUAAAGCCCUUUUGUUGGGAAAGAAAAGCAGCAGGUUAAUACCCCGCUGUUCUGACGGUACCCAAAGAAUAAGCACCGGCUAACUUCGUG